RNAcentral lists this ribosomal RNA (732 nucleotides) under Escherichia coli. Its description in RNAcentral is "partial 23S ribosomal RNA". It matches the Rfam family "Bacterial large subunit ribosomal RNA", at positions 498 to 1230 of the family's 2925-position model. The record is from RNAcentral. Lineage: Bacteria; Pseudomonadati; Pseudomonadota; Gammaproteobacteria; Enterobacterales; Enterobacteriaceae.
GUACCGUGAGGGAAAGGCGAAAAGAACCCCGGCGAGGGGAGUGAAAAAGAACCUGAAACCGUGUACGUACAAGCAGUGGGAGCACGCUUAGGCGUGUGACUGCGUACCUUUUGUAUAAUGGGUCAGCGACUUAUAUUCUGUAGCAAGGUUAACCGAAUAGGGGAGCCGAAGGGAAACCGAGUCUUAACUGGGCGUUAAGUUGCAGGGUAUAGACCCGAAACCCGGUGAUCUAGCCAUGGGCAGGUUGAAGGUUGGGUAACACUAACUGGAGGACCGAACCGACUAAUGUUGAAAAAUUAGCGGAUGACUUGUGGCUGGGGGUGAAAGGCCAAUCAAACCGGGAGAUAGCUGGUUCUCCCCGAAAGCUAUUUAGGUAGCGCCUCGUGAAUUCAUCUCCGGGGGUAGAGCACUGUUUCGGCAAGGGGGUCAUCCCGACUUACCAACCCGAUGCAAACUGCGAAUACCGGAGAAUGUUAUCACGGGAGACACACGGCGGGUGCUAACGUCCGUCGUGAAGAGGGAAACAACCCAGACCGCCAGCUAAGGUCCCAAAGUCAUGGUUAAGUGGGAAACGAUGUGGGAAGGCCCAGACAGCCAGGAUGUUGGCUUAGAAGCAGCCAUCAUUUAAAGAAAGCGUAAUAGCUCACUGGUCGAGUCGGCCUGCGCGGAAGAUGUAACGGGGCUAAACCAUGCACCGAAGCUGCGGCAGCGACGCUUAUGCGUUGUUGGGUA